This 301-nucleotide ribosomal RNA is filed under the name uncultured bacterium. RNAcentral describes it as "partial 16S ribosomal RNA". It matches the Rfam family "Bacterial small subunit ribosomal RNA", at positions 509 to 807 of the family's 1533-position model. The record is from RNAcentral.
CAGUCGCCGCGGGAAUACGUAGGGUGCAAGCGUUAAUCGGAAUUACUGGGCGUAAAGCGUGCGCAGGCGGUUAUAUAAGACAGAUGUGAAAUCCCCGGGCUCAACCUGGGAACUGCAUUUGUGACUGUAUAGCUAGAGUACGGCAGAGAGGGAUGGAAUUCCGCGUGUAGCAGUGAAAUGCGUAGAUAUGCGGAGGAACACCGAUGGCGAAGGCAAUCCCCUGGGCCUGUACUGACGCUCAUGCACGAAAGCGUGGGGAGCAAACAGGAUUAGAUACCCGCGUAGUCCCUGUCUCUUAUAC